UACGUAGGGGGCAAGCGUUGUCCGGAAUUAUUGGGCGUAAAGGGUGCGUAGGCGGCCUUUUAAGUCAGAUGUGAAAGCCCACGGCUUAACCGUGGGAUUGCAUUUGAAACUGGAGGGCUUGAGUAUCGGAGAGGGUAGUGGAAUUCCCAGUGUAGCGGUGGAAUGCGUAGAUAUCACGAGGAACUCCGAUUGCGCAGGCAGCUUACUAAACUACUACUGACGCUCAGGCACGAAGGCGUGGGGAUCGAACAGGAUUAGAUACCCUGGUAGUCCCU
RNAcentral lists this ribosomal RNA (275 nucleotides) under uncultured prokaryote. RNAcentral's name for it is "partial 16S ribosomal RNA". It matches the Rfam family "Bacterial small subunit ribosomal RNA", at positions 524 to 798 of the family's 1533-position model. The record is from RNAcentral.